Molecule: ribosomal RNA, 417 nt
Filed under: Triticum aestivum (bread wheat)
Lineage: Eukaryota; Viridiplantae; Streptophyta; Magnoliopsida; Poales; Poaceae
Description: partial small subunit ribosomal RNA
Source: RNAcentral
AUGGCUGCGGAGCUGGGCGAGAUUGAGGAGCUCGUCGAGGAGAUCCUCAUCCGCCUCCCUAAGGACGAGCCUGGUAAUCUCCUCCGCUCCUCCCUCGCCUGCAAGCCAUGGCACGACCUCGCCAGUCAUGCCUUCUGUCGCCACCACGGCGACUUCCACCGAACACCUCCCAUGCUUGGCUUCCUCCGCGACUGGCCGGAACUCAGCAUCGAGUUCUUCCCCACCACGGAUUUCCUGGCGCGCGGUCCCGACCCCCAGCACCAAUAUGCCGUGGAAGAUUGUCGCCACGGCCGCAUCCUCCUUCGGUACUUCGAUGAGGAUAUGCCAUUGCUGGUCGUCAGGGACCCCAUGACGGGCAGCGAAAUAGUGCUUGGCACCCUUAAAAUGUCAGAGAAGCAAGGUCGUUUGCCUCGAUGA